Molecule: ribosomal RNA, 642 nt
Filed under: uncultured Tomentella
Lineage: Eukaryota; Fungi; Basidiomycota; Agaricomycetes; Thelephorales; Thelephoraceae
Description: eukaryotic LSU rRNA
Rfam family: 5.8S ribosomal RNA (bases 220-374)
Source: RNAcentral
GACCUGCGGAGGAUCAUUACUGAAUUGUCAACACGAGUUGCUGCUGGUCCUCAAAUGGGGGCAUGUGCACACUCUGUUCACACAUCCACUCACACCUGUGCACCCUCUGUAGUUCUAUGGUUUGGGGGACUCUUUCCCCGUUCUGUGGUUCUAUAUCUUUACACACACUCUGUUAUGAAGUCUCAUGGAAUGUAUGCCGCGUUUAACGCAAUACAAUACAACUUUCAGCAACGGAUCUCUUGGCUCUCGCAUCGAUGAAGAACGCAGCGAAAUGCGAUAAGUAAUGUGAAUUGCAGAAUUCAGUGAAUCAUCGAAUCUUUGAACGCACCUUGCGCCCUUUGGCUAUUCCGAAGGGCAUGCCUGUUUGAGUAUCAUGAACACCUCAACUCUCAUGGCUUGCCAUGAUGAGCUUGGAUUUUGGGGGUCUUGCUGGCCUAUGGUCAGCUCCUCUCAAAUGAAUCAGCUUUCCAGUGUUUGGUGGCAUCACAAGUGUGAUAACUAUCUACGCUUGUGGUUUCCUGCCAGGUAACCUUCAGUGAUGGGGGUUCGCUGGGGCUCAUAAAUGUCUCUCCUCAGUGAAGACAUGUUUUUUAAUGUUUGAUCUCAAAUCAGGUAGGACUACCCGCUGAACUUAAGCAUAUC